CAGCAGCCGCGGUAAUACGAAGGGUGCAAGCGUUAAUCGGAAUUACUGGGCGUAAAGCGUGCGUAGGCGGUGAGUUAAGUCUGCUGUGAAAUCCCCGGGCUCAACCUGGGAAUGGCAGUGGAUACUGGCUCGCUAGAGUGUGUCAGAGGAUGGUGGAAUUCCCGGUGUAGCGGUGAAAUGCGUAGAGAUCGGGAGGAACAUCAGUGGCGAAGGCGGCCAUCUGGGACAACACUGACGCUGAGGCACGAAAGCGUGGGGAGCAAGCAGGAUUAGAUACCCCAGUAGUCCCUGUCUCUUAUAC
Molecule: ribosomal RNA, 301 nt
Filed under: uncultured bacterium
Lineage: Bacteria
Description: partial 16S ribosomal RNA
Rfam family: Bacterial small subunit ribosomal RNA
Source: RNAcentral